UUGACCGUUGACCGUUGACCAGAGUUGACCUAAGUCUGACUUCUUAGGGAUAGUCACACUUAGAAGAGAUAAGUAUUAAUGAGUUAUGUAAUGUUAUAGGGAGGUUGUAGCUCGUCGGUUGUGCACGAGUCAUUUCAGGAGUUGCUAGCUUUCAGCAUAUACGAGGUGAGUCUUCUCACUAUACUGUACCCGGAAGGGUUUGACUGUGUGACCGGAAGGUCGGAUAUGUUAUGUGAUAUGUAUGCUAUAUGUGGUAAGUUAAUUGUUAUAUGUGCUAUGUAUGAUAUGUGGGCCGGAAGGCAAUAUGUUAUGGGCCGGAAGGCGAUUAUGUUAUGGGCCGGAAGGCGUUGUAAUGAGGACCGGAAGGUCAGGGCCUGGAAAGGCGUAUGUGCGUAAGUGUAUAUUGGGGAACUCACUAAGCAUUUAUGCUUACAGUUGUUGUGCAUGUAUUUCAGGUACUAGCGAGGACCGUGGGAAGGCGCCGGCAUGAUCGAUACACACUGAAGAUUGUUUUAUGAUCUUGGGAGUUUGAAUAAUUGUAUUGACCGAAUAAUUAAACUGUUUAUGCCUUGUUUUUAAUGGAAAUAAUUAUGUUUUAAAAAUGAAAAAUUUGUUUGAAAAAUUUGAGUUGUUACAAUUGGUAUCAGAGCCUUGGUUUGAGGGAUUCGGGUGCACCUUCGGGGGUAACUGAACUCAAACCGAGGAUUUGAGGAAACUUUUCAAAUAAAGGCAUAAACUUUUGUAAAUGGUUUUGUGGUAAGCAAGAAAGAAGCAGUGUGUACGAUCAGUCAGCGCCCGAACGGUAAAGAUCCCCAAAAUACCUUACAAUAUUAUAUGAUAUGAAUUGUUAUGCAUGCUAGAAGACUAGGUAUUCAUGAUAGGACUAGAGUGGCCUGAUUUGUGAUGCCUUAGUCUAGGGAAGUUGCCUAUAUGAGAUGCUUUGCUAGUAUGCGGGUAGAUAGAGCGUAUCAGAAGUAGAGUACUCACUAUCUGGAGUUUGGGGAGGAGGACUUGGGAUGAACAUUGAUGCGGUGUGGUCGGUAGUAUUGGGCCCGUACUACCGAGGACACCGGGUCAGUGGGAGGCCCAAGUAAGAAUCCCUGGAUAUCUGGGACUGAGUAGGGUUGCGUGUCGAGUACGAUUAUACUCGGUAGAAUCUCUGAUAGUUUUAUGUUGUAUUUCAGAGAUAUCAUGGUUAGACCGCGGCACGGGGCAAGUACGAGCGGUGUGAGUGACGAGGAUAUUCGUCAGAUGAUCCACGAGGAGGUGGCGGCGGCGAUCCGGGCUGAGAUCCCGGAGAUGUUUGGGUCUAUCAAGACCACCCUGAUGGAGACGUUCGACGAGCGGUACGCCGCAUUGACUGAGGCUGCAACCGCUGCAGCUACCGCAGCUGUGGCCGCUGCUAGGCCACAGGGGGGUGAUUCAUUGCUGUUCCGAGAGUUCAGCAACACGAAGCCACCAGAGUUCGAUGGGACGCAGGAUCCGAUUGCUGCGAUGAGGUGGAUCGCAGAUAUAGAGGGGUGCUUCUAUACUUGUUCAUGCCCGGAGCACCUGAGGGUACGGUUCGCUUUGAACCAGCUCCGUCUGGGAGCGAAGGACUGGUGGAAGUUCGUGACAGCGAAUUUCACUUUGGCAGAGACUACAGCGGUGACAUGGGAGGGGUUUACUGCCAUGUUCAGGGAUGAGUACGUUCCCCCGGUGGAGAGGGAACGAUUGGUGCAGGAGUUCUUAACCCUCAAGCAGGGUACCGAUUCUGUUGCGGUGAUUACACGGAAGUUUCAUGAGAGGGCGAUGUUUUGCCCUGAGCUGGUGUCCUCAGAGCAGGCUCGGAUGAGCCGAUACUUGGGUGUCUUGAGGAGGGAUAUUCGGGAGUUUGUGUCAAACUCCACUUACCAUACUUUUGCUGAGCUUCAGGCGAAUGCCAGGAAGCGCGAGAUCGAGUUGGAGACCCAGGCUAGGGAGGAGGCCGAGUCUCAGCGGGUGGAUCGGCGACCGGCUCAGUUCCAGCCGGCAGCCAAGCGGGCCAAGUCCGCUGAUUCGAGGACAGGAGGUUCGAAGGGUCGCACUUGCGGGAAGUGCGGCAAGAGUCAUGAUGGAGUAUGUCGAUCUGGUGCUUGCUACAAGUGUGGCAAGGAGGGGCACAUUGCUAGGGAGUGCCCCAAGGGAUUUUCGGUUUGCUUUCAUUGCAACCAGACUGGCCAUAGGAAGGCCGAGUGCCCUCAGCUUCUUCAGGGAUCUGCACCUGCUGCCGGAGUUACUGCGACUCGACCGGUGAAGGCCGAGGCCCCGAGGGCUCGGGGAAGAGCCUUUCAGCUGACUGCGGAAGAGGUCCGCGCUGCGCCCGAUGUUGUGGCAGGUAUGUUGUAAUUCAUGUAAUUAUUUUAAUGUCGAUAUGUUAUGCUUAUGUUAUUAUGCGCGUAGGUACUUUCCUUGUGAACUCUGUGCCUGCCUUAGUGUUAUUUGACUCGGGUGCGAGUAGGUCCUUUGUGUCCUUGGCCUUUAGUCAGCAUAUUGGCGUUAGUCGUGAGUCGUUGAGUCGACCUUUGAGAGUCUCUAUAGCUGACGAGAAGGUGAUUUGUGCUACGGAGGUUCUUCGGGGAUGUGUACUAGAGAUUUUCGGGGUUGGAUUCCCGAUUGAUCUGAUUCCUAUCGCGAUGGGGGAUGUCUGUGUCAUCGUGGGCAUGGACUGGCUGAGCCGGUUCGGCGCUGUCAUCGACUGUGAGCGUCAGUUGGUGACUAUACGAGACCCUAGAGGGGGAGUUCUUUCGGUAUACGGCGAGGGUACCCGUUCGGGAUCAGCUUUUUGUUCGGCCGCUAGGGCGAGGCAGUGUCUACGUCAGGGCUGUAAGGGUUUCGUGGCGUAUGUGAUGGAUACGCGGGAGGUUUCUGAGAAACCGAAGUCAGUUGAGGAAGUUCCGGUGGUGCGCGAGUUUUCAGAUGUCUUUCCCGAGGAGUUGCCGGGAGUACCGCCUGUGAGGCAAGUAGAGUUUAGUAUCGAUCUGGUUCCGGGGGCAGCGCCUAUUGCCAAAGUGCCCUAUCGUCUUGCACCUCCAGAGAUGCAAGAGUUGUCCUCGCAACUCCAGGAGUUGCUGGGAAAGGGAUUCAUUCGGCCGAGCAGCUCGCCAUGGGGAGCACCUAUUCUGUUCGUCAAAAAGAAGGAUGGUUCACACCGGAUGUGCAUUGAUUACCGGGAGUUGAACAAGCUAACGGUCAAGAACCGUUACCCGUUGCCGAGGAUCGAUGAUUUAUUCGAUCAGUUGCAGGGAGCAUCUUGGUUUUCCAAGAUCGAUCUGAGGUCAGGAUACCAUCAGGUGAGAGUACGGGAUGAAGACGUCCAGAAGACAGCGUUUAGGACGCGAUAUGGGCAUUAUGAGUUUGUGGUGAUGCCUUUUGGACUCACCAAUGCCCCGGCUGUGUUCAUGGAUCUCAUGAACAGGGUAUGCAGGCCGAUGUUGGAUCGGUCGGUGAUCGUAUUUAUCGACGACAUUCUGGUGUAUUCGAGAUCGAGAGAGCAGCAUGAGGAGCAUUUGAGGGAGGUCCUUGAGGUAUUGAGGUCGGAGAAACUUUAUGCAAAGUUCUCCAAAUGUGACUUCUGGUUGCGGGAAGUCCAGUUUCUAGGACAUGUGGUUAAUCAGAAAGGGAUAUUGGUCGAUCCGGCCAAGGUUGAGGCGGUGAUGAGUUGGGAGGUGCCGAAGUCACCCUCUGAGAUCAGAAGUUUCCUUGGGUUGGCAGGGUAUUAUCGGAGAUUUAUCAAGGAUUUCUCCAAGAUCGCAGUGCCACUCACCAGAUUGACCCGGAAGGGUGUUGCAUUCUCAUGGGGGCCCGAGCAGCAGACCUCCUUUGAGACACUUCGCCAGAGAUUGUGCGAAGCCCCGGUAUUAGCUCUUCCAGAAGGGAUGGAAGAUUUCGUGGUAUAUUGCGACGCAUCGAUUUCGGGAUUGGGUGCAGUGUUAAUGCAGAGGGGUCAUGUGAUAGCUUAUGCGUCGAGGCAGCUGAAGCCUCAUGAGGCGAGAUAUCCCACGCAUGAUUUAGAGUUGGGGGCAGUAGUGUUCGCUCUCAAGAUUUGGCGUCACUACUUGUAUGGGGUUCGAUGUACGAUAUACACGGACCAUAAGAGUUUGAAGUAUUUGAUGGAUCAACCCAACCUAAAUAUGCGUCAGAGGAGGUGGUUGGAUGUGGUCAAGGAUUAUGAUUGUGAGAUCCUGUACCACCCAGGCAAGGCUAAUGUGGUAGCCGAUGCAUUGAGCCGCAGGGCGGAGAGCACUCCAUUGCGAGACGUAUGCUUGAGACUGACUGUGAUGACUCCAGUAUUGGACGCUAUUCGUGGGGCCCAGGCGGAGGCUGUGCGACCAGAAAUGCAGAAGAAAGAGCGGGUUGUGGGGUUAAUCUCAGAGUUUGUCAAGGAUAGUCGAGGCCUUAUGACGUUUCAGGGUCGGAUUUGGGUACCGUUCGUGGGCGGUACGCGUAUUACGUUGAUGGAAGAGGCUCAUAGAUCGAAAUUCUCGAUCCAUCCCGGUGCUACAAAGAUGUAUUUGGAUUUAAGGAAGGAAUAUUGGUGGCCCUGUAUGAAGAGGGACGUGGCAUGGUUCGUUGAGAGGUGCUUGACCUGCCGUAGGGUUAAGGCUGAGCACCAGAGACCGCAUGGCAAGUUACAGCCAUUGGAGAUCCCCGAGUGGAAGUGGGAACAGAUUACUAUGGAUUUUAUCACCAAAUUGCCGAGGACUGCUAGGGGAGUUGACGCAAUUUGGGUGAUCGUGGAUAGGUUGACAAAGAGUGCACACUUCCUUGCCAUCAGUGAGAGUUCUUCGGCGGAGAAAUUGGCGGAGAUAUACGUGAGAGAGGUGGUAUCUCGGCACGGGGUGCCGAUCUCGAUUGUGUCAGACCGUGAUGUGCGCUUUACUUCCAGAUUCUGGAAGAAAUUCCAUGAGGAGCUGGGUACUAAAUUGCAUUUUAGUACCGCAUACCAUCCCCAGACAGACGGUCAGAGCGAGCGGACAAUUCAGACACUGGAGGACAUGCUCCGAGCGUGUGUGUUAGACUUCGGGGGUAGUUGGGAUGCGUAUUUACCAUUGGCAGAGUUUUCCUACAACAACAGCCAUCAUUCGAGCAUUGGUAUGCCGCCUUUCGAGCUGUUGUAUGGUAGGAGGUGUCGGACUCCCAUUUGCUGGGGAGAGGUGGGACAGAGAGUGAUGGGCAGCACGGAGAUCAUACUCCAGACGACAGAGCAGAUUCAGCAAGUGAGACAAAGGUUAUUGACUGCCCAGAGCCGACAGAAGAGUUAUGCAGACAGGCGCCGAUCCGAGCUUGAAUUUCAAGUCGGCGACUUCGUUCUCCUGAAGGUCUCUCCUUGGAAAGGAGUGAUUCGGUUCAGGAAGAGAGGCAAGUUGGGGCCCCGGUAUAUUGGGCCAUUUCGUGUGAUUGCAAGGAUAGGUCGGGUAGCCUACCGGUUGGAGUUGCCAGCGGAGUUGGGUCAGAUCCAUGACACUUUUCAUGUGUCGCAGUUGAGGAAGUGCAUAGCCGAUGAGUCGGCAGUGGUUCCAUUGGAGGAUAUUCAGGUGGAUGCGAGCCUGAAUUACGCGGAGAGACCAGUGGCUAUCAGGGAUCGGAAGAUCAAGGUUCUGAGGAACAAGGAAGUACCUCUGGUGUUGGUUCAAUGGCAACACCGUAAGGGAUCAGAAAUGACUUGGGAACCGGAGCGCGAAAUGCGGGAGCAGCAUCCGGAACUAUUUGCAGAGUGAGACUUCGAGGGCGAAGUCUAAUCCAAGUGGGGGAGAGUUGUAACAGCCCGGAAUCUCAGGUAUUAUUAAAAUUAUGUUUUUGGGGUGAUUUAAGAGGGGACUCGGCGAGUUGGAGCCUAGACUCGCCGAGUAGGAUCGCAGACUUGGUCGCGGGAUCGCGACGGGACUCGACGAGUCCAGGUAUGGACUCGGCGAGUCGACGCUGUUCAGCAGAAACCCUAACCGUUCAGUUUGAAUCGUAUAUAACGCCUCUUAGGCCGUCAUUUUCAGUCUUUUGGUCGAUUGAGAAGAACCCUAAUCGCUGUGGACGUCUAGAGCAGGAGAGAAAGCUUUUGGAACUUGGAAGAAUUGGUUAGACAAGAAGAAGAAGAAAUUGGUCAAAGGAAUAUCAAGGAGGAUCGAGUCCUGAGGUUUGGGGGACACAGAGAGAACGUUCUCAGGUAAUACUCGGAUCAAUUAUGUUAGUUAAUGUGCCUAUGAACCUAGGGUUUAUGAAAAACCCAUUUAGUGAUUAGAUGGGUUAUUAUGUUAUUACCCAGAUGUUAUACCCACAGUAAAGAGAUGUUUAGACGUCCAGAGGGUCCCAUGGUUGUAUAUCUUGGGACCAUACGUAAUUCAGGAAGCAGUUACUCGUCUGCAUGGCAUGGACUCGCCGAGUUGUUCUUCAGACUCGGCGAGUAGCUUGAAGAUUUACUGGGACUCGCCGAGUUGUUCUUCAGACUCGGCGAGUGGAGUCGGGGUGGCCCCGCGAUUCUUCCAGGAGUAACUCGUCGGGUCGAGGAGGGUACUCGACGAGUAGAUAAGGAAUCUCAGAAAGUUGGAAGACGUCUAGACUCGCCGAGUCGCCAUGGUACUCGCCGAGUCCGGUCGAGCUGACCGUUGACCGUUGACCAGAGUUGACCUAAGUCUGACUUCUUAGGGAUAGUCACACUUAGAAGAGAUAAGUAUUAAUGAGUUAUGUAAUGUUAUAGGGAGGUUGUAGCUCGUCGGUUGUGCACGAGUCAUUUCAGGAGUUGCUAGCUUUCAGCAUAUACGAGGUGAGUCUUCUCACUAUACUGUACCCGGAAGGGUUUGACUGUGUGACCGGAAGGUCGGAUAUGUUAUGUGAUAUGUAUGCUAUAUGUGGUAAGUUAAUUGUUAUAUGUGCUAUGUAUGAUGUGUGGGCCGGAAGGCAAUAUGUUAUGGGCCGGAAGGCGAUUAUGUGAUGGGCCGGAAGGCGUUGUAUUGAGGACCGGAAGGUCAGGGCCUGGAAAGGCGUAUGUGUGUAAGUGUAUAUUGGGGAACUCACUAAGCAUUUAUGCUUACAGUUGUUGUGCAUGUAUUUCAGGUACUAGCGAGGACCGUGGGAAGGCGCCGGCAUGAUCGAUACACAC
RNAcentral lists this long non-coding RNA (7111 nucleotides) under Lactuca sativa (garden lettuce). Its description in RNAcentral is "long non-coding RNA (LSAT_LNC002968)". The record is from RNAcentral. Lineage: Eukaryota; Viridiplantae; Streptophyta; Magnoliopsida; Asterales; Asteraceae.